UACGUAGGGGGCUAGCGUUGUCCGGAAUUAUUGGGCGUAAAGCGCGUGUAGGCGGCCCGGUAAGUCCGCUGUGAAAGUCGGGGGCUCAACCCUCGAAAGCCGGUGGAUACUGGCGGGCUAGAGUGCGGAAGAGGCGAGUGGAAUUCCUGGUGUAGCGGUGAAAUGCGCAGAUAUCAGGAGGAACACCGAUUGCGAAGGCGACUUCCUGGCCUGUUCUUGACGCUGAGGCGCGAAAGCUAGGGGAGCAAACGGG
This 253-nucleotide ribosomal RNA is filed under the name uncultured bacterium. RNAcentral's name for it is "partial 16S ribosomal RNA". It matches the Rfam family "Bacterial small subunit ribosomal RNA", at positions 524 to 776 of the family's 1533-position model. The record is from RNAcentral.